GUACUCGGGGAUAGCCUUUCGAAAGAAAGAUUAAUACCCGAUGGCAUAGUUCUUCCGCAUGGUAGAACUAUUAAAGAAUUUCGGUCAUCGAUGGGGAUGCGUUCCAUUAGGUUGUUGGCGGGGUAACGGCCCACCAAGCCUUCGAUGGAUAGGGGUUCUGAGAGGAAGGUCCCCCACAUUGGAACUGAGACACGGUCCAA
Molecule: ribosomal RNA, 200 nt
Filed under: uncultured Bacteroidales bacterium
Lineage: Bacteria; Pseudomonadati; Bacteroidota; Bacteroidia; Bacteroidales
Description: partial 16S ribosomal RNA
Rfam family: Bacterial small subunit ribosomal RNA
Source: RNAcentral